ACUGUCGGCAUGAGCGUGACACCACGCUCGCACGUCGAUGAAGAGUUUACUGUCGGCAUGAGCGUGACACCGCGCUGAAUAGUGCGGCAACCUGUUGAACGGCUUAUCAGUUGAACCCAUGUGCUAGGGAUCGGGGCUGGCAAUUGUUCCCGGUAAAUGAAGAAUUCCUUGCAGAGGCGCGUCAU
This 185-nucleotide ribosomal RNA is filed under the name Flustrellidra hispida. Its description in RNAcentral is "partial 18S ribosomal RNA". Lineage: Eukaryota; Metazoa; Bryozoa; Gymnolaemata; Ctenostomatida; Flustrellidridae. The record is from RNAcentral.